RNAcentral lists this ribosomal RNA (253 nucleotides) under uncultured bacterium. Its description in RNAcentral is "partial 16S ribosomal RNA". It matches the Rfam family "Bacterial small subunit ribosomal RNA", at positions 524 to 776 of the family's 1533-position model. The record is from RNAcentral.
UACAGAGGGUGCAAACGUUGCUCGGAUUUACUGGGCGUAAAGCGCAUGUAGGCGGGAAUCUAAGUCGGGUGUGAAAUCCCUGGGCUCAACCUAGGAACUGCAUCCGAAACUGGGUUUCUCGAGUGGUGGAGAGGAAAGCGGAAUUCCGGGUGUAGAGGUGAAAUUCGUAGAUAUCCGGAGGAACACCAGUGGCGAAGGCGGCUUUCUGGACACCAACUGACGCUGAGAUGCGAAAGCGUGGGGAGCAAACAGG